RNAcentral lists this ribosomal RNA (894 nucleotides) under bacterium. RNAcentral describes it as "bacterial SSU rRNA". It matches the Rfam family "Bacterial small subunit ribosomal RNA", at positions 1 to 921 of the family's 1533-position model. The record is from RNAcentral.
UUUUUUAAGAGUUUGAUCCUAGCUCAGAAUGAACGCUGGCGACGUGGAUAAGGCAUGCAAGUCAAGGGGGCCCGCAAGGGCAACCGGCAGACGAGGUAGUAAUACGUAGGUACGAACCUUUUAGUUGGGUAUAGCUCGUCGAAAGACGGGGUAAUCCUCAAUAGUUCCCUUCGGGGUAAAGUCGCAAGACGCUAAAAGAUCGGCCUGCGGGGUAUCAGCUAGUUGGUAAGGUAACGGCUUACCAAGGCUAUGACGCCUAGGGGAGGUGAGAGCCUGACCCCCACCGAUGGUACUGAGAUACGGACCAUACACCUACGGGUGGCUGCAGUCGAGAAUCUUCCACAAUGGGCGAAAGCCUGAUGGAGCGACGUCGCGUGAUUGAUGAAGUCCCACUGGGAUGUAAAAAUCUUUUAUAGAGGAGAAAGCUCCGUUUACGGAGUGUGAUAGUACUUUAUGAAUAAGGGGUUGCUAAACUCGUGCCAGCAGCAGCGGUAAUACGAGUGCCCCGAGCGUUAUUCGGAAUUAUUGGGCGUAAAGGGUGUGUAGGCGGUCUUGUUAGUCUUUUGUUAAAGCUCCCGGCUUAACCGGGAAAAUGCAAGGGAAACGGCAAGACUGGAGGGUGCAAGAGGCUUAUAGAACUCAUGGUGUAGGGGUGAAAUCCGUUAAUAUCAUGGGGAAUACCGAAGGCGAAGGCAGUAAGCUGGUGCACAUCUGACGCUGAAACACGAAAGCGUAGGUAGCGAAUGGGAUUAGAUACCCCAGUAGUCUACGCCCUAAACGAUGAUCACUGGUUUUUCGGAGUAUCGACCCUCUGAGAGACGAAGCUAACGCGUUAAGUGAUCCGCCUGGGUAGUACGACCGCAAGGUUAAAACUCAAAGGAAUAGACGGGGACU